Molecule: ribosomal RNA, 271 nt
Filed under: uncultured prokaryote
Description: partial 16S ribosomal RNA
Rfam family: Bacterial small subunit ribosomal RNA
Source: RNAcentral
UACGUAGGGGGCGAGCGUUGUCCGGAAUGAUUGGGCGUAAAGGGCGCGCAGGCGGCCUGUCAAGUCAGUAGUGGAAGUCCAUUUUUCAAGGAUGGAAGUGCUAUAGAAACUGAUGGGCUUGAGUGCAGGAGAGGUUAUCGGAAUUCCCGGUGUAGCGGUGAAAUGCGUAGAGAUCGGGAGGAACACCAGUGGCGAAGGCGGGUAACUGGACUGCAACUGACGCUGAGGCGCGAAAGUGUGGGGAGCAAACAGGAUUAGAUACCCCGGUAGU